GCUGGCGUAGCUCAGUUGGUAGAGCGGUCGAUUCGUAAUCGACAGGUCGGGAGUUCAAGUCUCCCCGUCAGCUCCA
RNAcentral lists this transfer RNA (76 nucleotides) under Bacillota bacterium. RNAcentral describes it as "tRNA-Thr". It matches the Rfam family "tRNA". Rfam says of the family: Transfer RNA (tRNA) molecules are approximately 80 nucleotides in length. Their secondary structure includes four short double-helical elements and three loops (D, anti-codon, and T loops). The record is from RNAcentral. Lineage: Bacteria; Bacillati; Bacillota.